UGUUUCGGCUAGGGGGCCAUCCCGGCUUACCAACCCGAUGCAAACUGCGAAUACCGGAGAAUGUUAUCACGGGAGACACACGGCGGGUGCUAACGUCCGUCGUGAAGAGGGAAACAACCCAGACCGCCAGCUAAGGUCCCAAAGUCAUGGUUAAGUGGGAAACGAUGUGGGAAGGCCCAGACAGCCAGGAUGUUGGCUUAGAAGCAGCCAUCAUUUAAAGAAAGCGUAAUAGCUCACUGGUCGAGUCGGCCUGCGCGGAAGAUGUAACGGGGCUAAACCAUGCACCGAAGCUGCGGCAGCGACACUGUGUGUUGUUGGGUAGGGGAGCGUUCUGUAAGCCUGUGAAGGUGGCCUGUGAGGGUUGCUGGAGGUAUCAGAAGUGCGAAUGCUGACAUAAGUAACGAUAAAGCGGGUGAAAAGCCCGCUCGCCGGAAGACCAAGGGUUCCUGUCCAACGUUAAUCGGGGCAGGGUGAGUCGACCCCUAAGGCGAGGCCGAAAGGCGUAGUCGAUGGGAAACAGGUUAAUAUUCCUGUACUUGGUGUUACUGCGAAGGGGGGACGGAGAAGGCUAUGUUGGCCGGGCGACGGUUGUCCCGGUUUAAGCGUGUAGGUGUGUGUUCCAGGUAAAUCCGGUUCACUUUAACACUGAGGCGUGAUGACGAGGCACUACGGUGCUG
Molecule: ribosomal RNA, 677 nt
Filed under: Salmonella enterica subsp. enterica serovar Newport
Lineage: Bacteria; Pseudomonadati; Pseudomonadota; Gammaproteobacteria; Enterobacterales; Enterobacteriaceae
Description: partial 23S ribosomal RNA
Rfam family: Bacterial large subunit ribosomal RNA
Source: RNAcentral